RNAcentral lists this ribosomal RNA (405 nucleotides) under uncultured bacterium. RNAcentral's name for it is "partial 16S ribosomal RNA". It matches the Rfam family "Bacterial small subunit ribosomal RNA", at positions 28 to 526 of the family's 1533-position model. The record is from RNAcentral.
GACGAACGCUGGCGGCGUGCUUAACACAUGCAAGUCGAACGGAGCGGCGAACGGGUGAGUGACGCGUGAGUAACUUCCCCCCUCUCAGGGAUGACAGUUGGAAACGGCUGCUAAUACCGGAUAGUUGGGGAUGGCUCGGGUCCAAUCAGCUUGUUGGUGGGGUAGUGGCGUACCAAGGCGACGCCGGGCCGCCGGCCUGAGACGGGGCCGGGCCCCAGUGGGCUGAGUUACGGCCCAAAGUGCAACGUCGGGCAGCAGUGGGGAAUAUUGCACAAGUGGGGAAGCCCUGAGACAGCAACGCCGCGUGCGGAAUGUCGGUCUUCGGGUUAUAAACCGCGUUCAGCCAUGACGCGGUAGUGGCAGAAGAAGCACCGGCUAACUACGUGCCAGCCGCCGCGGUAAUAC